RNAcentral lists this long non-coding RNA (579 nucleotides) under Oryza sativa Indica Group (long-grained rice). RNAcentral describes it as "lncRNA OsMH63_03G029380". Lineage: Eukaryota; Viridiplantae; Streptophyta; Magnoliopsida; Poales; Poaceae. The record is from RNAcentral.
CGCUCUAAGGGCAGCGGUGACACAGGUGGUGACCACCACUGCCUUCCUCCCUCCUCCGCCUCGCCGCCGCCCGAGCAGACCGCCGGAAACCACGCGGCUGAGAGGAAGGCGGCAGCAGGGCCUUCCUUCUCCCUCGAUGUCGCGGGUCGGUGCCUACGACCCCGACCAGAUGGGGGCGACGACGGUGUGACGGCAUCGGCGUCGGCGUCGGGUCGGCUCCGGGGCAGCGCGAAGACCGGCGGCAGGCAGGGGCGGUGUCGCGGUGGGCGAGCGACGGCAGCGGCGGCUCGCUCGCGCCGUGGUCACGGCGCCGGCGUCGGUGUCGGCUUCGGCUUCGGUGAUGGUGGACGAUGGAUGUUGCGGCGGCGCGCCCUAGCUAGUCGUCGCCCCCGAGCCUGGCUGGAUCUGGCCGUCCGCGGCCGGAUCCGUUGCCUCCACACAGGAUGGCAGCCGGUCGGCGGGGCGGCUGUGUGUGGGCGUUGCACGGCUCGGUGGGCUCUGGCGAGCGUGGUGGUGGCCCGCUGGUGGCCAGCCUCCUGUUCGGCAGGGGGCAUCUUCUGCCCGUGGUGGGUCUCGUGA